RNAcentral lists this ribosomal RNA (364 nucleotides) under uncultured bacterium. RNAcentral describes it as "partial 16S ribosomal RNA". It matches the Rfam family "Bacterial small subunit ribosomal RNA", at positions 338 to 699 of the family's 1533-position model. The record is from RNAcentral.
CCUACGGGAGGCUGCAGUGAGGAAUAUUGGUCAAUGGGCGUAAGCCUGAACCAGCCAAGUCGCGUGAUGGAAGAAGGCUCUAUGGAUCGUAAACUUCUUUUAUAGGGGCGUAAAGUGUGGGUCGUGUCCUAAUUUGUAUGUACUUUAUGAAUAAGGAUAGGCGAACUCCGUGCCAGCAGCCGCGGUAAUACGGAGGAUCCGAGCGUUAUCCGGAUUUAUUGGGGUUAAAGGGGGCGUAGGCGGGCUUUUAAGCCAGAAGUGAAAUGCUGGGGCUUAACCAUGGAACUGCCGUUGAUACUGGGGGUCUUGAGUGUGUGUGAGGCAGGCGGAAUGCGUGGUGUAGCGGUGAAAUGCGUAGAUAUCA